This 270-nucleotide ribosomal RNA is filed under the name uncultured bacterium. Its description in RNAcentral is "partial 16S ribosomal RNA". It matches the Rfam family "Bacterial small subunit ribosomal RNA", at positions 88 to 354 of the family's 1533-position model. The record is from RNAcentral.
CCGGCGACCGGCGCACGGGUGAGUAACACGUAUGAAACCUGCCCGUAGCAGGGAGAUAAGCGGAAGAAAUUCCGUCUAAUACCGCGUAACAACCCAUGGAGGCAUCUCCGUGGGUUUAAAGGAAGCGAUUCCGGCUACGGAUGGUCAUGCGUCGCAUUAGCUUGUUGGCGGGGUAACGGCCCACCAAGGCGACGAUGCGUAGGGGUUCUGAGAGGAAGGUCCCCCACACUGGUACUGAGACACGGACCAGACUCCUACGGAAGGCAGCAG